RNAcentral lists this long non-coding RNA (13544 nucleotides) under Capsella rubella. Its description in RNAcentral is "long non-coding RNA (CRUB_LNC003758)". Lineage: Eukaryota; Viridiplantae; Streptophyta; Magnoliopsida; Brassicales; Brassicaceae. The record is from RNAcentral.
UAAGAUGUUACAUGGGGCCGCAGGGGAGCUCUGGCCUUGGAUGCUAUUAUCUAAAUGUAAUUGCAUCUGUUGUUGUUGGGACGGAGUCGAAGCACCAGGUAAUGCUUUAGGCAAUUGCUGUGAAUGAUUUGAAGACAAGGGAUAAACGAAUGGUUUAGAUUGCAGAUGCGUGCUCAUGGCAGUCCCUGCAUUAGACUGCUGAUCAGGCCUAACUGGAACCGCUUGCCCUCCUUUUUCGGUAGCCUGAUUUCCUGGGGUCAUGGUGACACCAUUCAGGUGUGACUGAUCAACAGUGAUGUUCUGAUGGAUCAUGUUGCCUCUACCCAUCCCCUUCAACUGUUUACUCUGCUGUUGACCUUGUGUUGGCUGCCGCUGCUGUGGAUGUUGUCUCGCAGACUGCUGCAGAAGUUGCCGCUGCCGUUGUUUUCCAGCUUGAUUGCUCACACCAGAAGCACCAGAAUGAGGACUCCUACCUAUACCAUGAAGCGGUAACUGAGACUUUUGAGGGUUCUGUUGUGCCAAAGUAUUCAUGUUAGGAGAAGUCGACACUGGGGACAUCGAUAAUGGCUGGGGAGAAACUGGUGGUUGAGUCUGAGGACUAUUUUGUGGAGAAGAAGAAACAGAAGAGCCCUGAGGUUGUUGUACAUGUGGCAUCAUUGUACCAGAUGCUGGAAACUGUUGUUGCUGUUGCUGUUGCUGCAAAAUCCUCUGGCGUAUUUGCCUUUGAUGGAUUGCAUAUGCUUCCUGCUGUGCCCCAGUGGCUUGACUUGGGAUCUGGUGAUGAGGAUGAUGCGAAUUCCCAAGCACAUGUGACUGCGGUGACAUCUGAUGCUGCUGGGAAAGAUGGCCUGGGUAAGCCUGAACAGGAGUUGUCUGGUUGGUAAAUCCAGAACUCAAAUUACCGAAAGCUGGGAUCCCUGGACUAUUCCCUUGAGCAGCCUGCAUAUGAAACUCACGCAUAUCAGUUUGUCACUGUAGAGUUUAUAAUGUGGAAAAACAGGUUCAAAAUGACAAUCCACCAGCGGUUGACAAAAAUCAGGACGCUGAAUGUCUAAAACUAAAAUAAGAAGCCAGAUAAAUUAGUCCAAGAGGUAAAGUAAGAAAUAGGUAAUUUCGCUAAGUUCCCGCAUGUGAGAAAUCUUAAAACUAAGUGCAGCAGCAAACAAAAGCCAAUUAGCUUACCCGCAUCACAUGCUGCAUAGCUUCACGAGGCCUGAGCAUGGAGUUUCCUUGAGAAGCUCCUCCUCCGGAAUGAAUAUUUCCAGUGUUUGGAAUUCCUACCAUACCAGAAGAAAGCAUACUAGUAGUAUUUGGCAUUGCUGAGGAUCCCAUCCCUUGAAAACCAGGCCUUGACAUGGGUGUGCUCCUGUUCAUUCCAUUUGCACCCAUAGCAUUUCCACCAGGAACCAUGCGAUGUCCACGAUCAGAUCCUGAGACAGCUCCAGGAGUUGAUACAGAAGGCUGCUGCAGGUUUCUACCGGAUAACAUCUGGUUAAACUGUUGUAUUCGGUUUUGUUCAUCAAGUGGCAAAGACCCUCUAGGAACGUUGAAUCUACCAUCACUAAACAGAAAAAAAAAAAAAAAAAAAUCCAAUUUCAAAAGAAGUAAUAACCCUAAGUAAAUUGAAAAGAGUUUCACAGACGUGUGCAUUCACCAAGACAAACCAUUCAGUACAGCUCUACCUGACAGAAGCACUCUGUAGGCCAGAUGUGGUUGGCAAAUUGUUGUUGAGAACGGCACCAGAUGAUCCAGGAGUGGAUGGAUGUGCUCCAGCAGUAGGGAGCACUGGCGUACCCUGAUUCAACACUGGAAGACCUGGAUUUUCAAGUGAAAAUACAUCUUGACCUGAAGUUGAUGCAUCACAGAUAUCAAGAGGCCUUCAUCCAGAGAGUAGCAAGAGAUUAGAAUUGCAAAAGUUGUAAUCAAGAUAUAUGUGAAUUUAAGUAAACAACAGAACUUACGUUAGAACACCUCCAUUCAAAUUAUUUGGGAAUACUUGAGAAAGAGCCAUGACUUGUGAAUUGUGAACUGGUACUAUUUGUUUGGGAUCCCGACCAUCAUUCUUGAAGAUUAGAUGAAAGAGUCGCAAACAUACAAAAACAGCAACAAGACAACAGAUUUAGGGCAAUAGAAGAUUCAUACUUCAAACUACACUGUGACUUCAACAAAUGUUAGCUAGGAUUUGCGGCUAUACUUAGAAACAUGCAGACCUGUUACUCAAAUAAGAGUGAUCGAAUUACGCCUUUCUUAGCAUUAAAUCCAUGUUAAUUGAAAACUAAAUUAAGAAACCUAUCUUCUCAAGUUCCAUAGCCCGGAUGUCUAAGCAAAAACGUUUAUCAGCUUUAGUGUAAUUUGAAAUCUGAAUUCCGUGAACAAAAGAAAUCACAGAGAUCCUGAGAACACACACUCUCUGGCUAUAAGUCUAUAUAUUAAAAACCUCUAGCAUUAUUCCCACAAGGGAGUCAAAAACUAAAAUUAGGACUUUCUCACCCAUCAUAUCGUCACUUUCUCACACGUGGAACUAUCCCUAUUGCCAAUCAACGGUUGAAUUAUGACUAAACAAAAAGUGCAGAAAGACAAUAUCCACUAGUUUUAGGUUACAAGCUUGGAAACAGUAACACAGCAGGAGGUGCACUAACCUGAGUCUUUUUAUAAUGUAACUUCUUCCCAAUCAAACAAAUCUUCUCAAAAUGAGACUUCAGGGUAUCUUCCUCCAUUGGCCCUUGCAGUCGUUGAAACAACUGUCUCGCACUUCCCUGAAUAUCACAAACAUAUCCAAGGAAAUUCAAUUAGUCUAAACAUAAAAGACACUUUGUUCAGCAUUUCAUAGCUAAAGGAAAACCUUUGGGAUGCCAGGCAAAGUGGAUGGAUAAGACUGAGAAUUCCCUGAAUCUUCAGCACUAUCAGCACCAUCACCAGCAUUCCUAUCCAUCAGAAUCUUAUGCCGCUCCUUGCACUCAGUCGAAUUGCGAUAUAUACACUGGAAAAACAAUGGGAAAUCAAUCAGCCAGUACUAAAGACCAGUUAUUCACAGACACGAGAAAGCAAUAACCUGGACAAUAAUAUCCAACACAACUGUUCAGUAGAAUAGGUAUAUAUAUAUAUAUUUAAUUGAAGUAUAACUCUGAACUCUUUUUGAAAUGAUAGGCACUUACCUUAAUUUUAAGAGUGCUGUUCAUGGCAUCACUAAUGAGCUCCCAGUUAGGGCCCAUAUCAUGCACCAGGACAACAAGCGCCUAUUUGGUGAAAAUAUAUUAGAUACUCAUAGAGCAAACUACAGUAUAUCGAUAUUAAUGAAAGAUGACGAAUAGAAAACCUGAUCCUCAAAUAAUGACCACAGAUUUCCAGAACCAUGCUGGCCAGGGGAAAUCUGAGAAAAACCAAAUUCUAGUUUAAAAAAAAUAUUUUAAACAAAGCGAAUGGAGUCAGUAAACCUUCAACGCAUACCUUCAGGCUUUUUACUUUUCUGCCCCUAUCACGACCUCCAAUAAAUUUGAUAGAUUUGUUGGGGUUGGACAUAUUACUCAUCUGGGAAGCCGCUGGAGAAGGAAUAGAGCCAGUGUGAGGAAUAGCAAUAUCAAAAUUAUUCUCUACCAAUUGCUUGGUGGUCUUUUGCUUCUUUGCACUAUGAGGACCAUACAGACCUGAUAAAAGACAGUUAAAAUGUCAAUAGAAUUAUAAGCUCAACAAUUGCUUUAGUUUUAUAAUUGUAGGUUAAUGAUAAGAUGUAUGCAAAAAUUGCUGCUUAAAAAAUGUUAUCCACCAAAAGUAUUGUUUGAUUUAUAUAGGCAGAGUGAGCCCGAGGCUCCCCCAACUGCUGAAGAACUACAAUGAACCAAAAAGUAAUAACAACUUUGCAAAUAAUACCGUUCAUAUCGAAAUGAUUCUCUGGUCGCUUCUUCCAGUGGUCCUUCUGCCAAAAUAAGAACCAAUUAGAAGCCUUUCUAAGAAGUCAAUUAUUAGUAUACAUGGUAAACUUUUGCCAACUAUUAUAAUCUCAUUUCAAGAAACAGGAAACUGUAAUAGUCACCUCUUUAAGACAAAAACGGAAACAAAAAAAUAAAGAUGUUAAGUAUUUCACUCUGUCAAGUAGGACUCAAGCAUCAAACCAGUUUGGCAAAGCUAGUCAAGCUAUAAUAUAAACUAAUUCACACCAUCUAAACACCUGUCAUGUUUUCCUAAAUAUUUGUUCAAGAUGAUUAUUAGGUUUUAUCAAGGAAAUCACCUGUUCGAUAUGGACUGACGGAUCAUGCCAGGUUUGGUCAUAUGCAGAUCCCUGCAACAAAUGAAUUUUAAAAUUACAAUGCAAUGUCAACUAUUUUCUGCAAACAGUAAGAGAUAUGCUGACAUUGCAAACUACCUGAUGAGUCUUCUUCUUCUUUUUAGGUUUUCCUGAGGUUUCAGCCAUGUCAUAAGGUAACUGCUUUUCAAAAUUACCACUUGAUUCAACCUCUGUCCCUUUUUGGGCUGCCGAUCCACCAUGUAAACUACUUUGCUCAUCCUGGAAAGAACUAGUAUCUCCACUAGACACAUCCGUCUUCGAGGGCACAGGUAAAUUCUCAGCAAUAGUAGCACAGCCAAAAGGACUCGCAUUCCUCGGCCUGGAAGCAGUGCGCACUCUCCUCGUCGGAACUGAGCCAAGAUUAUUAUUACUGGCAGGCCUUUUUGCCAUCACGCUUGAUGAGUUAGACCCACCUGUGUAGUUGCCGUAUGGUAAAUCAUCUCCAAGAUCAUAUGACCGGGCAGAAUGAGACUUCAUCAGAUUCUUCCUUUUUUUGUGGCUUUUAUUAAAUGAUUUGCUAGAUUCCAAAGCUCCCGGAAGAUAAUAGGUACUUGUUUCUCCUUCAUCCUCCUCAAAUGCAGCACCAUUAUAUCCUGUAUCUACAAUUAGAGAUACAAAAUUAGCAAACAUUUCACCAGUAUGCGUAGCUCAAACAACCCAGAAUUAUGUAUACCUCCAGCAGCAUCAUAAGCCGAUGUAUCAACCUCCUCCUGCAUGCUACUUCCAGAUUUCUGGGAACAGAGAAAUACUGUUAAAUAUCUUUGCAGAACAGAUAUAGCUUCUCAGGAAAAUAUAUGCCAUCAAGGUUACAAUAUGAGAGCUCCAAGCAAGGAAAAAUCUCACAUACACAUACCUCGCAGUGUGUAAGAUGCGACUCAAUGGACUUAUGGUAUACCUCCAUUGCACCAGAUGGAACUGAAUAAAAGAGGCUUGCCUGCACAGUAACAAAGCUCGAUUAGCAAUAUUAUAGAAUUAUCCACAGGAAUAGUAUUCAACUGAGGUUGUGGAAAAACUUUUCAGAAAUUCAUACUUCUGUAAGCUGAUCAAGCAUUAAUAUAUCCAAUAUUUCUGGGUCGCACAUAUUGUCAGGUGUUAACGGUGCAGCUGAAUGAUAGGGGAUGGAAGAGUUGUUAUACUUCAAAAAUCUACUUGCAUACUCCUUGACACCCGCAGCUAAACAUAUUCUGCCAUUCACACAAUUAGAUUCUUGGCAAGUGUCCUGCAUAUAAUUCAAGGUUUUACUUAGUAGGAUACCAUUAAGUUAUUAAAGUCAUAAGAUAAAGAGCAACAGAACCAGAGACUUCUGAAGGAAAUUUAUGAAAGAAAAUGUAAGCGAAUAAGAAAGAUUCAGCUUCUCAAUCAUAUAAAAGUAAAAAUCAGAAAUACUGCGUUGUUUUACAGUGAGUAAAAAAAAAACAUAAUAAUAUGGUUAAGGAUUUGAGCUUUACAAUUCUUAAUCUAACAAGUAUAUAUAUCUAUGCAUAAUUUUGAUUUAAAUGACAAGGAAAGAACCAUAUGAUCACCAUUGCCAUCAAAGACUAUUCCCGCAAAACAAAAGAUUAACUAAUAAAGGUUUGGCAGUCAAAUACCUUAACAAUUCCCAAGCUUGUCUCCUCCAGCUCCCCAGGACCCUCCACAGAACUCCAGAACUGCAAGAUAGCACUAGAUAGGAUUGAAGCUAUUUUUUUCAGCUUUUUGUGCUGAUUUCGUUCUUCAAAUCUCAACUGACAAGUCAAAGCAACUCGAUGGCAAAUUUGUGCAGCAGCAGUCAGCUUCCAAAGGCGCUCCUAGAAGAUUAAAAUAAAAAGGUAAUAAAAUGAAAUCAGAACAGGCAGUGAAAAAUAUUCUAGUAACAUAAAAGUGGACAGCAUAACAAUCUACAGAAUGCAGCAUUUUCCAGGCAGAUAUACAGAAUAUAAGUUAAAGACCAGACCUGCGCAAAAUCAUUUGCCAGCCAUGCCAUUUCUUCGAGGACAAAAUCCCAUUGACAUUUCUCACGGACCUCCACUGGUGCAGUACCACAAGAUAACUCGGCAAUUCUUUUUCUCUUUGUCUGUUAGUGUAUUAUGUCAUACAUAGAAAGAUGAAUAGGUAUACAACUUAUUCAAAAGCUAGAAAACUUGAUAUCAUCAAGCCAAGUUGAAAAAGAAAACCUGUAUAAUCCGUGCCUCCUCAAGGAUAGAGUCCUCUUUCAUAGUAUCUAACACUACUGCAUUUGAGCUUGGCUUUAAUGCUUCAAAGUCAGUUCCUGACAAUAAAUUAUCGCCGACUGCACAGGAACUUGUGUCUACAGAUGCCUGAGGAAUUUCAAAGCACAACGAGCUGCUAAGAUUUUCAGGUAAAAUGACAACUUUCCUGUCAAUUUCCGGUACAACCAACCCAUCUUGAAGCCUUUUCUCAGUCUCAGAAACUUUCUCUUCAUUUUGCAUCGCAGCUGUACUUCUGUGACUUUGAUUUUCAAUUUUAACCAAUUUCUCAGGAAUGCUCUCACUAAUAAUGGUAGUAGGUCGACCUGUCUCAUCCUCAAUCUUAGUUUUCGUUAUUUCAUCAACUGUUUGAUUAAGCAAACCCUCUACUCUCAAAGCCUUCUGCAUAGAGAUUUCAUCUGAGUCAGGUUUGUCCACUUUAUAAAGAUCUCUUUCAUUAUCUACAUCUACGUUGUUAGCGAGAGAAGACUCUGACUCUAACCCUUUAGUCCCUGCAGCUCCUCUAUUUGUUAAGCUUUCUUCCUCUCCCGUGGAAUUUCUUAGGCCGUUCAGUUGGGUAGAAUUAUUUUCCUGGCCAGCUAUUGUUACAGCUUUGGGAGAACCAAUCUCUGUAUCAGUCGAAACUAGUUGUGCCUUCUCCCCAGCAAGGCCAGACACUCCAACGGGCAAAUGUGCUGAGCUUUUUCUGUAUGUAAUGUUGGCUUCAUCUAGACUAGUCUUAGAUCCAGAAGUACUCUCUCGUAAAACAGGUUCACAAUCCACCUUAGUAUUCAGCGAAUUGCUGGGAACUAUAUUUUUUGGAACAAUCCCAUUCGAAUUUGCAAAUAUUGGACAAGAUACGGAAGUCGUAUGCUUAUCUUUUUGAUUCGCUGCUUCGGGAAUGCAACCCUUUCCUUCCACUGAUCCUCUGCGAACAGAUAUAGAUGUUACAAGACCAGCACGACUCUGAACUAAAUCCGUAGAACUUGACCGUGAUGGAUCCCGAUUUAUCUUUGAUCUGUUCCUCCGAGCAUACGGGCGAAAGAUGGCAGAAUCUUCUGUUUCUUUUGUAUUCUGGUUGGUAUUUGCUUUGGAAGAUCGUUCUGUCUCAGAAGUUCUGUUUUGCCUAUUAGGAUAUCUCAAAUUUCUUUCUCCUUCCACUGACUUGUUUUCAGAAUCAAACAGUAAAAGAUUAUCUGCUGUAUUGGGUUCAGAAAUGGAAGGAACUCCAGGUCUACCGCUACUCUCCACAGAGUCUCCAUUUGGUGAGGCAGUCAGGGCAAACCUAUCCUUGACUUCACUGUGGGGGGUUAUGGGUAAAUAAUGAUAAGCUAACUAAUGAAAUGAAAUUAGUGGGGAACUACAACAAACACGAGCGUACCUGUUUACAAAAUGCUCCGUUUGCUGAUCUGUGAGUGAUGUAGAUUGGACGCUAUGUGAAGUUGCAAUGCCAAACUUGAAAUCCAAGGGAUUACCGCCCUAAAGCAGAUAUAAAAGUAAAGGCUUGUAAUCAUAAGUUUUUAGAAAGAAAAAAAAAGAAAGAGGGAAAUAGGUAUUCAUACUUUCUCCAGAAACUCUAGUUCUCUCCUCCUUUCCUCACGGACAUCAUACUCUUGCCUGUUGAAACAAUCAUCUUUGUUACACACUGGAAGUGAUUAAUAGCUGUAGAAAUUGUAGAGCAUUUAAACACAUUGCAGAAAAUCAAGAAGUCUCAAUCUGAAAUACCUUAGCUCCGCUUGAGCCUUCUCAAUUGCUGUUCGGCGCGGAGAUGUUUUGACACCAAUACCACCUCCACUAUCAAUAACUCCUCCCAUGGAAUCAACCUCAGCAUUUACUAGAAGAUACCCUGAAACGCUUCCAUGCAUCAACACCUUGGAUGUCUCAUCAAUUUGAAUUCUAACUUCACUGAAAAAAUAUAUCAAGUUAAUUACAGCAUUCCAAAUGAUCAUACUGCAGAAGUUAGAAUCAAUAACAGCUAAAUGUUGACCUACAAAUAAUAAAGGUUAAUGGGUGCGCAUGUAUGUUCCCAUGAUGCAAAAUAGCCGAGAAAGUACAAAAUUUACCACAGAAAGCAAAGACAGUCCCAUAUGAUAACAGAUUAUAGAGUAGCUUAACAUAUUACAAAUGCUAAGAAAUUUGUCAAGAAUCAAACAUAAAAUCAGCCAUUUGUUCGAACCGCUAUCCAAAGAAACACCCAAGUAAAGAUAACUCCCCAGAAUCUAGUAUUUGACAGAGAACUUUACACAUAACACCUCUCCCAUUCUGAUCCUCUAAAAAACCAGAUUCAGCAAAGCAACAUAAACCAUCAAGAGCUCAGAGCUACUCAUUCCAGCAAUAAUGCAAUACGAAACUCUAAGAUAUAUGUGUAACGGGAAAUUUCCUAGGUUAGUAGUUUUUAUAUUAUUUAAUAUGCUUUAUUGAUAAACAUUUUACUAACUAUUAGAACUCUUCAAUCAAGUAUUACACAAUUCGAAGCUAACAGAGCAGGAACAAGGUAUCACAAAGAAGAAAUUUCAGCAAACAGUUCACAUUCCUGAAUCAACAUAGCAAAAUGAGAGAAGAACUCAACCCAAAACGUUCAAAAAAAUUCACAGAAGCUUCCAGCAAAGCUGGACUCUAGGGUUUGAGAAGAAGAAGUGAAAGAGAAGGCUAAGAGUAUACCUGGAAUUGAACGUAGAACAGAACGAACGCAAAAGCUAGGGCACAAAACUCGGGCAAAUCACACAAAUUCUAAAAUUAGUUUCUCUCUCCUAGGGUUUCCAAAGCACACCUCUUUCUAAGCUUUUUUGUGUGUUUUUCAUUCAAAUCAAAAGAGAGAGAGCUCCUCCCAUGAACAUGGAAUCCAUGAAAUUGCUUGCUUGUUGCGAGAUUGAUUCCUAAUUCAGCAAUUUUUGUUUUUCAAUUUUGGUUUCCCUCUCGGGAGAAGAAGAAAGAAAAAAAAAAACAAAAUUAGCUUCUCGUUGAUGUUUUUUUCACCCCUGGGCCUUCGGUUUAUUUGGUUCGGUUUUCUAUUUUUUUGGUUAUUAAACUUAGCUGCCGAAUUGACCCAAAUAAUACUUCGGUACUCGGAUUAUUUGGUUCGGUUAUUGGAUUUUAAAACAGUUCCAAGAUAAAACCGAUUUUAUUUCUUUCUAAUUUGGUUAUUUCGAACAACAUGUUGAAAAUCACAAUGAACCGACUUUUGAGAACCGGUUAAAUAGUUCUAUGUUCAUAAAAGAACUACUGAUGUGUUAUCUUAUAAGAUCACUUUAUUAACAUUUCACGAAAGAAUAAAAUCCAAAAAUAACAUAUUGCAUGCUUAUAAUCUUUUUCCUCAUCUUGUUGGGUUUACCGUUAUUUUUUAGUUACAAUAAAGCAUCUGAUCAAUUAUAAACUUUCCGCGCACAACACAGAUCGAAAACUAGUUGUUCUAUAUUGUUUGGUUAUGGUGUAACAUGAAUGAAACUUGAAUACAUUGGCUUCAAUUUGUCUUUCAUCUAGAUUUGGCUCUUUUCUUAAGAUGUUUAAAUAAUGGGAUCAAUCUCACAGAAUUCAAGUUAUUGGAAAGUGGAAACAAAUUAAAGAACCACAUAGAUAAUAAAUGUAAUUCUAACACUACCAUUUUAAGCUUGUUAUUAUAAGGAUAUGGAUAAUCAAUAUGAUUCGUAUCGUAUGUGGUAUGUAUCUCUCCUUUCUUGGUGCAUAUCUCUUUCACUGAUCAAGAAGUAGACACCAAUGACUAUCUUAGUCAACCUAGACAAACAUAAACAUGUUUCAAAUCAUGACAAGAAUAGGAAGCAUAUUGGACAUAACAGAUUUAUAAGGCAUGACCAAUAUCUUAAGUCUUCUCAAAAUCUUUUGGUAAUAAAAAAACACCGAACGUCUAAAGGUACAACAUAAGACACUUUGAAGUUGUUCAUGCAAUAAAUGUUUUCACCAACUGUAUUAACCAAUACUAGUUUUUGAGAAUUUUGGGGUUGUUCAAAAUGAAGGAGCAAAUACAAUAAUAUUCAUUGAUAUAUAACAAUCAUAAAGUUAUCAAAGAACCCAAUUAUGCACAAAGAGAAGCAAGCAUAUCGAUGUACGAUCUCAUUUUCUAAGGAAUCUUACUAACGAUGGGGUUAUGGAAUUGGUUCAUUGCAGCACACAAACACAAAUUUGGACCAAUGCCAUUAGUUUCUCUUUUGUUCAAAAUUGGUUUAAAUACGGUUUAGUUUGUUAUUUAGUCGGUCAACAAUUUUUCUUAAAACAGUAAACCACCAUGUUUUGAGGUUUCAAAGUAUAUGAUUGUGACAUUAUGUUGUAGUUUAUAUGAAGAAGAUUCCGGUAUAAAAAUAGAUCAUCAGUUCAGUCCAUGAGUGAAAAAAAAAAAAAGUGGUUUGGUUUGGUAUACUAAAUUUUUUAUUGGGCCAGAAAAGACAAAACCCAAAGAUCCGAACCGGAGUUAAACUUAAAAAACUCGUAAGUCAUAAAAGCCAAAAGCUCCCAAAUUUACAAAACUAUUUACUCCACUAAAAAAAACCAAACCAUGGCGACGCCUUCGCCGACCUCCUCUCCUCCUUCUGAUUCAAACCCUAAUUCCGCCGCUACUCCGCCGCAUCAAACACAACAACCCUCUCCUCCACACACCAAUCCAUCUUCUACUCCACCACCGCAUAUCACCGUCGUUGCCUUAGCCGCAUCGACCUCGUCCCACGCCAGAAAAACCCAACCUAUACUCUGGACUCACGACGAGACUUUCCUCUUAAUCGAAUCAUACAAAGAGAAAUGGUACGCAAUUGGCCGUGGUCCUCUCAAAACAAACCACUGGGAAGAGAUCGCCGUCGCUGUCUCGGGUCGUUCCGGCGUUGACCGGUCGUCUACUCAGUGUAGGCAUAAGAUCGAGAAGAUGCGUAAAAGAUUCCGAUCUGAGAGACAGAGUAUGGGACCAAUCUCGAUUUGGCCUUUUUAUAAUCAAAUGGAGGAAUUGGAUUCGAACCCUGCUCCCAUCUCAGCUCGUCCUCUCACUCGUCUACCUCCGAAUUCGAGUAAUCACUACCAAGAAGAUGAAGAAGAAGAGGAUCAUUACGAAGAAGAAGAUGAAGAUGAUGAGAGACAGAGCAAAUCGAGGAGUAUCAAUUACAUACUGAGAAGACCUGGUUCUGUUAACAGAUUUGCUGGAGUUGGUGGAGGGUUGUUGUCAUGGGGACAAAGAGAUAGAUCUUCGAAGAGGAAGAGGAACAAGAACGACGGAGAUGGUGGUGAGAGGAGGAGGAAAGGAGUGAGAGCUGUGGCGGCGGAGAUUAGAGCGUUUGCUGAGAGAGUUAUGGUAAUGGAGAAGAAGAAGAUGGAGUUUGCUAAAGAGACAGUGAAGCUUCGUAAGGAAAUGGAGAUUAGAAGGAUUGAUUUGAUUCAGAGUUCUCAAGCUCAGCUUCUUCAGUUUCUCAACAAUGCCUUUGAUUCUUCUUUCUAACUAGAGAGAGAUUGAUUUUAAGAUAAUAAAACAGAAGAUGAGGUUUUGUAACAUAGUAGUGUUUUAACUAUUCUAGAAAUGAAUUAUGAAGAUGAGCUUUUGUAACAUAGUGUUUAACUAUUCUAGAAAUGAACUAUGUAAUCUAAUGUUUAUGUGUAUACAAGAAGACAAUGUUAUUGGAAGCAAUUUGAACUUUUUUUUUUUUUUAACCAUAAGAGAUUGAAGAGACAGAACAAUGAUACAUCAUCAAAUUAACCUAAACCUACAAGAGAAGUUAGAGGAAAAGGCCCUAAAUAUAUGCCACAAGGAGGAGGGAACAAAGAAAAAAAUGAGGGUGGAGGAGUAGAGACUUUUCUGUACAUAACAUUAUAAACUGUUUCUACUCUCUCCCAAACCAAAAGAUGGGUAGAAGAAGAAGAAGGAAGAGACUAAUUCUCUAUGAUGCAAGUGUUAAUUUACAUUAUGAGAUACCUUCUCUCUCUGUUCAAAAGAGGCAAAAAGACCUGCAUGAGUUCAAUCUUAUCCACCAUCUUCUUCCCAAUUUAUCUCCGCUCUGCCUUUAUCAAAUCUGCAAACUCCUCAAUAUGUAGAGUUUAUAUAGGCUGGACUCAACCAAUGUUAUGUUAAACAGUAACUUGAUUGAUGUUAGUGCCAAAAAGUGAGGACCCGACUCUGAAGGCAGAGGAGACGAACCAGUUUGGGUUCCUGUACAGGGUUGAUGGUAAGGGCCAGCCAGCAUUAAACUUUGAAGGAUCUACAGCUACUCAAGGAUCAUCUGUCAUGCUUCUCAUUCCACUUUCGUAUCAGGAGGCUUGGAAGCUGAUACUUGUGCUUCUUCUAAUUGAGGCUGCUGCUGCUGCUCAGAAGCAAGGUGUUUCUGAUUUUGUACAGGCAGCAUCUCUGACAACUUUGGUCUCUUUUCUUCUGAAGGCAGAGACUGUUGUCUCUGUGUGACGGCCUUGAUCCCGUGACUCGGCAAGCCACCAGAUACAUGCUUCUGAGCUAGUCCUUGAUUCGGUGCUGUUACUGGAUCAUUCCCAGCUGAAUCUGUAUUGGAGCUGUUUACUACUUUAGAAGCAGUGCUUUGCAUAGAGGCAGCACAAGAUGGAGAUUCUAAAGCCGGCACCACCGUAGAACCAACUGCUUUUACGCUUUUCGAAUCAUGACUCGAUUGAGGCAUACCCUUUGUCGUACCCAUACUAGCAAUUUGGGUGGUAUUGGUGACAGAGUGCGGAACACGUGAAAUACGUUCAGCUUGGGACUUCUUUGAUAACUCAGAGUUCCCUAGAUGAUUAUGAUGAAUAACUCGAGAAGCUGUUGAUUGCAGUUGAUUGCGCUGCUUUUGGUGUAGCAACAAAUGCUGAUGGUUGGAAGGUGUAACUGACGGGCUAGAGGUGGGUAAGAUGUUACAUGGGGCCGCAGGUGAGCUCUGGCCUUGGAUGCUAUUAUCUAAAUGUAAGUGCAUCUGUUGUUGUUGGGACGGAAUCAAAGCACCAGGUAAUGCUAUAGGCAAUUGAUGUGAAUGAUUUGAAGACAAGGGAGAAACGAAUGGUUUAGAUUGCAGAUGCGUGCUCAUGGCAGUCCCUGCAUUAGACUGCUGAUCUGGCCUAACUGGAACCGCUUGCUCUCCUUUUUCGGUAGCCUG